Molecule: ribosomal RNA, 490 nt
Filed under: uncultured bacterium
Lineage: Bacteria
Description: bacterial SSU rRNA
Rfam family: Bacterial small subunit ribosomal RNA
Source: RNAcentral
AACUAACGCUGGCGGCGUGCCUAACACAUGCAAGUCGUACGAGAAAGUUGGCUUCGGCUGAUGAGUAAAGUGGCGCACGGGUGAGUAACGCGUGGAUAAUCUGCCUUUUAGUUGGGAAUAACGUACCGAAAGGUGCGCUAAUACCGGAUAAUACUGCAUAACUACUGUUGUGUAGUCAAAGAAGGCCUCUGUUUACAAGCUUUUGCUGAAAGAUGAGUCCGCGUACCAUUAGCUAGUUGGUAGGGUAAUGGCCUACCAAGGCUACGAUGGUUAGCUGGUCUGAGAGGAUGAUCAGCCACACUGGAACUGAGACACGGUCCAGACUCCUACGGGAGGCAGCAGUGAGGAAUAUUGCGCAAUGGGGGCAACCCUGACGCAGCAACGCCGCGUGAGUGAGGAAGGUUUUCGGACCGUAAAGCUCUGUCGAGUGGGAAGAAAUGUAUUGUGGCUAAUAUCCAUGAUAUUUGACGGUACCGCUAAAGGAAGCACC